RNAcentral lists this long non-coding RNA (354 nucleotides) under Elaeis guineensis (African oil palm). RNAcentral's name for it is "long non-coding RNA (EGUI_LNC039242)". Lineage: Eukaryota; Viridiplantae; Streptophyta; Magnoliopsida; Arecales; Arecaceae. The record is from RNAcentral.
UAACUUAGAGACUUGAUGCUAAGGAAAACUAAGGUGGCCCAGUCAGUGGAGCCUAGCAAGCUCACAUCAAAUUGGGAAGGACUAUAUAAGGUUUUAAGAUCAUGCGCCUCGAAACUUAUCAAUUGGAGCAUCUAGAUGGGACUCCUAUCUCAUAGGUCGGGUUGUAGCUCUCAAGCCAACCAAGAUCGAGUAUAUCUCACAAUGAUUACUGACAAAUGCUUUCUAAUGUGGUAGAUCAAAUAAGCCAUACAAUGGCUCUACGGAGGUAAUACCUUCAUUUAUUAGGCGAGCUAUCCAAUAGGCUUACCAUUCUGAUCCACGUACUGAAGACCUAGUGACCUACCUACCUUCACA